This 166-nucleotide small nuclear RNA is filed under the name Catagonus wagneri (Chacoan peccary). RNAcentral describes it as "U2 spliceosomal RNA (ENSCWAG00000020179.1)". It matches the Rfam family "U2 spliceosomal RNA". From Rfam's summary of the family: U2 is a small nuclear RNA (snRNA) component of the spliceosome (involved in pre-mRNA splicing). Complementary binding between U2 snRNA (in an area lying towards the 5' end but 3' to hairpin I) and the branchpoint sequence (BPS) of the intron results the bulging out of an unpaired adenosine, on the BPS, which initiates a nucleophilic attack at the intronic 5' splice site, thus starting the first of two transesterification reactions that mediate splicing. The record is from Rfam by way of RNAcentral. Lineage: Eukaryota; Metazoa; Chordata; Mammalia; Artiodactyla; Tayassuidae.
GUUGCUUCUAGGCCUUUUGGUUAAGAUCAAGUGUAGUAUUUGUUCUUAUCAGAAAUAGGCACUAGUUCAAAUUUAUCUGCCUUGUGAAUGAUAUAUAUGUGUGUAUAUUUAUAUAUAUUUACAAAAGCUAGUCUCUGAAUACUUUUUCCAGAGACAUUUAAUCCCU